CUAUAAAUUGAACAGAUCUCAGCUCUUCUUCAACACACCAAAGCAGAGAAAGAAAAAUAUAUAGAGAGAACUGUGAGGUAUUCCACAGACUGUGAUAAAAAUAGUCUGUGAAGCAAAAAUUAGAGUGAGCAAUAUUUUUAGUAAGGUGGGAUUCAAAAGAGGGUUAUUUCUUUUGAGUAUGUUGUAGUCAUUUUGAGUAUUAUAUUUUAACUACAGUGUAAAAAUUUCUUACUACAAUAAUAUUAGUUGCUCCUCUUGAUCCGCGGUUUUUCCCGGUUUUCACUAAAAUUCUUGGUGUCAUUAUUUUUAUAUUUUUUUCUAUUAUUUUACCACAAAUAUUUUUAUUGUUAUUCAGAGUUUACGUAACAGUUAUAGCCUUGCCUCUCAACCAAGGACCUGACUAUUAGGCUGUUGUGUCUUACUAACAAUACAUGGUCGUAUUAUCCGAAAAGGAGAAGCUUCGAUUAAAAGUGAAAAACAAACAAAUGGUGCUUGUAUCAAGGUUUAUGAUGCCAAAACUGAUUGCGAUUAGUAAAUUGUCACAGUCACUUCCAUUGAGGUAUUGCUUUCUCUCCAGAAUUCUUUAGUUCCCAGGCUGGUGAAAUUUUCAGCUUUUACAAGUCGUUUCUUUUUUGUGAAAGUGUACUGAAUCGCUUACCUCUUGUGUCACCAUGUAAUACUAUAUUCGCCAACUAAGUUGAGCGGUCAUCUUUAUUUUUUGGCUUACUUACUAGAAAGAACAAGAAGAUUGCGUGCUUUUUCUCCCGCUUCUCAUCUUUGAGGAUUUUACAUGAUAGACUUGUGAUAUGUGUUUCAAUUGCUAAAUAUGUACCUUAGCUUGCUCAGGAACAGGGUGGUAUGUAUUUAAUUUUAUUUGAUGAAAGAAAUAUUAUUGAUAAGCAUUUUUGGUUGCUCUUACAGUGGUUAUGUGAAUUUUCAUGGACUGCACUUUUGUCUGGGUACUCUCAGAAUGGGAAUUCUCAAGAAGCCGUUAAUGCGUAUCUUGAGGGCGUGCACUAGAUGUAUGAAUUUAGGAAAGCAAAUACAAGGGUGCAUUCAGAUUAUAUAUACAGAGUGCCUUGGUUGAUUUUAAUGCUAAUUGCGGAGAAAUGGAAAAUGUUUUUUUGUUUUUGAGUCGAUGGCAGAGAGGGAUUUGGUUUCUUGGAAUGUCAUGAUUUCUGGAUAUGCUUUUCGAGGUUAUAACAUUGAUGUAUUUUUGCAGUUUCGUUGGAUAUUCAGACAAGGUAUACAGCCCGAUUGCUUCACAUUGGGAAGUGUUCUCAAAGCAUAGGUAAGAGGUGGCAAGUGUGGUAAACUAGCUAGAAUCAGUAUAAUACAUGGAUGUAUCAUUCGACUUGGUUAUGGGUAAUGCCAAAGCUGAUUGCAAUCAGUGCAUUAUCCCAGUCACUUCCACUGAGAUAUUGCUUUCUCUUUAGAAUUCUUUAGUUCCCACGUUGGUAAAAUUUUCAACUUUUACUAGUCCUUUCUUUUUUGUGAAAGUGCACUGCAUCGCUUACCUCUGGUGUCACCAUGUAAUACUAUAUUCGGCAGCUAAGUUGAGCAGUCAUCUUUAUUUUUUUCUACCUUAGAAAGAAUAAGAAGAUUGCGUGCUCUUACUCUCGCUUCUAAUCUUUGAGGAUUUUACAUGACAGACCUGUGAUAUGUGUUCCAAUUGCUAAAUAUGUACUUUCACUUCCUCAGGAACAGGGUGGUAUGUAUUUAAUUUUAUUUGAUGCAACAAAUAUUAAUGAUAGGCAUUUUUGGUUGCUUUUACAGUUAACUUUAUAUGACAAUAGUUUUUGGCAUGCAUGAACUUAUACAUAAUUGGGAAUUUCAUGUUAACAUGUAACAAUUCAUUCACUAAGGCUUUUCAAGACUAUGUUUUGCAUUAUAAUAAAUAUCACGCGGUACUUGAAGAAUAUAGUGAUGCAAAUUGAAUCACCGGAUCGAAUAAAGUAAAGUCCACGAGUGGAUAUGUUUGAUUUUUCCUCCUUACCUCUCUUUCUUUUCAACACAAGUUUCGUUGGAACAGGCUGGAUCAUAUCACAUCCACAUUGGAGUUAAGUCCAGGCUAAACGACAGAUAAAAGUUUUACAAGUAAAACACAGUUUUACCAACAAUGUGAAAUGAAAGGAGAAAGUUCAUUUUUUUUUUUUUGGUAACAGCUGUGAAUAUUACCAUUACUCAAAAAAAUUCUCUGAUUUUGUACAAAUUAAAGAGCACCUGUAAGUUAUCAGGCCUCAGGACAUGCUACCAAAGAAAAAACAAAACAAAUCCUACAGGCAAGGUAAACUCAAACUUAAUACUAGAAGAACUAUUAGAAAUUAAACACUAUCCACAACCCAACUUGAGCAAUACAUCUUUUACUUUCUCAACUUUUUUAUUUGCUUGCCGUACUCCCAACCUAUCCCUCACCUCCUCCUGAAUUUGUGUGAUCGUGAAUUGUGUGUUUACAUGUAUCUGUCGAAAUAUCCUUCAGUUCCUUGUUUUCAAUAUGUGGUAUAUCAUGGGCCCCCAAACAGCCACCAUUAUUUCCUUCUUCAAUUUUCUCCAUUUUCUCUAUCCCCACCAUAUUAGACUAUUAGGUACAUCCCUAUUGACCAUAGGCACACCCCUCCAUUGUGACAACCCAUCUCGAACCUCGGUAACCCAAGCACAUUCAGAAAACAAAUGUUGUGGGGUUUCUAACACACCUGAGUUACAUAGACACAAUUCUCCUCUUCUACGGGCAUUUUCAAUCUUAGCAUCCUAGCCUUGGUUAGUAACCUGUUUUGGUUUGCCAACCAAAUAAUGAAUCUGUGCUUUGGUUGUAUAAACCUUGUCCAUACAAAAUUAGCUACUCUCAACCUAUUCUGCAUCCCUAACAUUUCAUUGUAGCUCUUUGUUACCGAGUAAAUCCCAUUCUUUGUCAGCUUCGUAUCCUGAUACCAUCCAGCCAUAUCCUUUUUUAGAGCCAUUAGCUUCCUCCAAUACCAACUACAAUCACCUAGAGGAUUGUGAUCUCAUACAUUCAUAUGUUGUUUUAUAUAGACCCCGUGUACCCAUCUAACCCAUAAAACAUCUUGUUUCUCUAAUACUUGCCACAACAAUUUACCCAUUGAUACUUCAUUCCACUUCCUACACCCUUUUACAUUAAGGCCACCAAAUUUCUUGGGUAUACAAACCUUGUCCCAUGCUACUAAUGGUGUUUUCCUGCAAUCUUCUGAACUUCCCCACACAAACUCUUUACAUUUGUUGUCGACGGCCUUUAACACACUUUGUGGAAGAAUAAAGACAGCUCCCCAAAAAUUGUAGAUGGAGAAUAAGACUACAUUAACUAUUUGUAGUCUACCUGCAUAGGAUAGUUUCCUAGCAUAAGCAUUAUUGAUUCUGUUAGUGAUCUUCUCAAGAAGCUGGUGACAUUCCAUUUUUCUCCAUUUCUUGGAUGUUAAUGGCAAGCCAAGAUAUCUUAUUGGUAACUGGCCUAUAGAAAAUCCUGUCAGAGAUAAAAUUUAUGUAUGGACCUCUUCUGUUAUUCCAACCAAGAAUAUGUUUGUCUUCUCCACAUUAGCCAUUAGCCCUGUAGUUUGACUAAAGUGAUCUAAAGCCUUCAAUACCCUUUGAAUAGACUUUACCUCUCCUUUAUAGAAUAUCAUGAGAUCAUCCGCAAAAAUUAGGUGUGUCAACCUGAGUUCCUAGAACAUGGGGUGAAAUUUAAAAUCUGAAAGUUCGCUCAUUUUCCUGAGUGUUCUGGUUAGGUACUCCAUCACCAAUACAAAGAGCAAAGGAGAUAUUGGAUCUCCUUGCCUAAGACCCUUCUUCCCUUCAAAGUAUCCAUGCCCCUCUCCGUUAGCCUUGCUGAGAAUCUUGUUGAAGAUAUACACAUCAUAACCAUUUGAACAAAAGAUUGAGGAAACCCAUAUCCCUUCAAGACCUCUUCUAUAAAUUUCCAACUUAUCAUGUCAUAGGCUUUCCUCAAGUCGAUCUUCAUCAUGCAUCUAGGGGUUGUUUUUCUCUUGUAAUGCCUCAACAAAUCAUGUCAUAUUAGAACAUUAUGUACUAAGGGACCUCCCCUUUACAAAAGCAGCUUGUUGGUCUGAGACUAUACUUGGCAAAACUACCUUAAGCCUUUCACACAACACCUUUGAGACACACUUAUAUAAUACAUUGCAACAUGAUAUUGGCCUAAAUUGACCUGCUAUUUGUGGUACAUUCACUUUAGGUAUAAGUGCAAUCAUAGUAGCAUUCAUCUGCUUUAAUAUUUUGCCAUUCCUCAAGGACUGUAGCACCGCAUCAGUCACAUCUUUACCUACAAUACUCCAUGCUGCCUUGUAGAACCCACUACCAAAGCCAUCUGGUCCCGGACUCUUAUUGCUAUCAAUGCUAAACAUGACUUUUUUAACCUCUUUCUUUGUGUACCCCUUUACCAGAUCCAACUGCUGCUCUAAAAUUACAACAGGUUCUAAUUUGCACCUCAAAUGACCCCUAAGUGUCUAGUUGACAAAGACAUGGUUACAGGGGUUCAAAUUACAGCUUGAGUCAAGUACAAGGUCUUCGAGGUCAUUUAAUUAUUUUUACUUUUCAUGUAUUUUGUUUCUUUUAAAAAACAGGCAAAUGAUUGAGGUUUCAAUUACUUCAAAUAGAAAGGAGAUGUGCAACUUUUCAACGAAUAAAUAAAGAAUUUAACAGUAAAACAAUUAAGGAUAAAUGUGAUAUUGUAACACCGUAUUCAUUUGAACUUAGUUAUUUUAACUAAUAAUAUAAAGGACAUUUAUCAAUAGACUUUUAUUACUAAAAGAAAAAUUAUUUUAAAUAUUUAUUAUAAUAAUUUUUAAUUAAUUUUUUAUUUAUUUAAUUAAAGGGAUUUUAGUGUCAGCCAUACAAAGGAAAAAGCUUUUAAACUGACGAAUCACUUUUCUUUUUCUACUAAAAGGCACAGGGAAUCACCUUUGGAAUCAAUGUUGCACCAGACACUUCUAAUGCCCCUAUGUACAAUGGAUCACUAGAGUCUAGGUGCCAUCUAAUUCUUCAAAAAACAACUGAAUCUACACUGAUCUAGACAGUUCAUCUUCUUUUGUCUCUGGGAAAUGAUAAGUGUAUUAUAAAACGAUACCAAAAUCUCCACUCUCUUGUAUUCCAUAUAUUAACCAUAUUCAGUAUUUUUUUUUUCUGUAGUAAGUGGAUGAUCUUAAGUCCAUGACACUUGAAUCUGUACUUCUGCUGCAACACAGAAGUCCUUCCUGAUCAGCUGGCACUGCUAAGGCAAAAGCCAAAAGGAAAAAGACAUUCACCAAGAUGUCAUCAGAUACGGUUAUCACUCUGAUUUGCUCCUUCGAAAUGCACUAACUGACAUGUACGGCAAGUGUAAGUACGCGCAAGGUGCAAGAGAAGUUUUUGAUAAUUUAAGUGCUAAAGAUGUAAUCUCUUGCACGUAUGUUAACUGUAAACUUCCAAGAGAAGCGCUAACAACUUUCCAUGAAAUGGGAUAGUUUUCUUGUUUUUCGUCAUCUUGAUUAGGUUAUGGAAGAAAGAUUCAAUCUUUAUUGAUUUUGCUUGUGUGAAAGUAACCUUUCGUGGAAGAAAGAUCCAAUCUUUAUCGAUUUUAUCAGAUGAAGCUGGAAAUGACCAGUUGAUGUUGAUCAACACUGAGAUCACAAAGAUGUGCUGCUCUAUUGAUAUGCAAUUUGAGAAUGAUCCAAGUUUAUCUGUUGUAAUGGGGGAUUUUCCUUUUCUGAAUUUUUCUCUCAAGACUGCUGGGGUUGAUUUUCAUCCGAAGACAAAUCUUUUAGCAUCUGAGCCUGUAAAAAGCAAGAAGCACAAAUACCCAGUUUGCUUCAAAGUUUUCCCAUUAGGCCAAUCUUUGGGAGGCCACAAGAGGGCUCAUUACACUGGAUUCACUGAGAGCAAAACUAAAGAGCCUAUGGUGAAAAAAUUGGAUGACCUUGCUGAUAAUCAUAAGGCUUUUGAUCUGAAUACUCCUGUAAAUGCUGUGGAUGAAGGGGAAUGAUGUUGAGCUCAAGCUUUGGUGGGUUAGAAGUAGCGACGCUGUUGAUGUCAAAUUGAGAGAGUACUUCAUUCUCAGUUUCUGCUCUAGAGGUUGAAGAACUAGACGAUUCAUGAUUCAUUUUCAUUCUUGAAUUUCAUAAUUGUAAAGAUAAUUUUGAGUCCUGGAAUAGUUAAACAGUUGAAUAAUGACACAGGAAAGAUUAGAGUUCCCAGUUACUGACUGAACCAUAAUAGGAAUAAGGCAUACAAAUUACUACAACAUUACUGUUUACUUUCUGUUCAUUGCAUUCUUGCAUUGUAGUACAUAUUUUCCCAGGCCA
Molecule: long non-coding RNA, 6305 nt
Organism: Capsicum annuum
Lineage: Eukaryota; Viridiplantae; Streptophyta; Magnoliopsida; Solanales; Solanaceae
Exons: 2
Source: RefSeq, a predicted model, not a curated record